This 490-nucleotide ribosomal RNA is filed under the name uncultured bacterium. RNAcentral describes it as "partial 16S ribosomal RNA". It matches the Rfam family "Bacterial small subunit ribosomal RNA", at positions 30 to 507 of the family's 1533-position model. The record is from RNAcentral.
AUUGAACGCUGGCGGCAUGCUUUACACAUGCAAGUCGGACGGCAGCACAGAGAAGCUUGCUUCUUGGGUGGCGAGUGGCGCACGGGUGAGUAAUAUAUCGGAACGUACCGAGUAAUGGGGGAUAACUAAUCGAAAGAUUAGCUAAUACCGCAUAUUCUCUGAGGAGGAAAGCAGGGGACCUUCGGGCCUUGCGUUAUUCGAGCGGCCGAUAUCUGAUUAGCUAGUUGGUGGGGUAAAGGCCUACCAAGGCGACGAUCAGUAGCGGGUCUGAGAGGAUGAUCGGCCACACUGGAACUGAGCCACGGCCCAGACUCCUGCGGGAGGCAGCAGGGGGGAAUUUUGGACAAGGGGGGCAAGCUUGAUCCAGCCAUCCCGCGGGGGUGAAGAGGGCCUUCGGGUUGUAAAGGCCUUUUGUGGGGAAAGAAAAGGCGUUGGCUAAUACCCCGCGGUGCUGACGGUACCUAAAGAAUAAGCACCGGCUAACUACGUG